Molecule: ribosomal RNA, 253 nt
Filed under: uncultured prokaryote
Description: partial 16S ribosomal RNA
Rfam family: Bacterial small subunit ribosomal RNA
Source: RNAcentral
UACAGAGGGUGCGAGUGUUGUUCGGAAUUAUUGGGCGUAAAGGGCGCGUAGGCGGUUUGGUAAGUCAGGUGUGAAAGCCCUGGGCUUAACCCAGGAAUUGCAUUUGAAACUGCCAAGCUAGAGUGCGAAAGAGGAGAGCGGAAUUCCCGGUGUAGAGGUGAAAUUCGUAGAUAUCGGGAGGAACACCAGUGGCGUAAGCGGCUCCCUGGGUCAAAACUGACGCUCAUGCACGAAAGCGUGGGGAGCAAACAGG